CACUUGCAAACAGCUGAAUAUGACUUUUCCUUUAUUUAAUCCUCCUUUCUUCCAUUCUGUCUUCAAUUCAUCUAUAAAUCUGAACCAUUAUCUCUAACAUUUGCCAAAGUGACUUUGCAUAUAACAAUUGCAUGUAAUCAAUUUCAAAUAAUCUGGCCUCAAGUUGGACAUGUAUAUACAAGUGUGACUGUCUUUUCAGUGGUUUUGGAAGAUCUCAUCUUUAAAGGUGGUGAUGGAAGUGGAUUUUAUGACCUAGACCCAUGCAACCGGUCAUGUUGCUGGAAUUGAAGUGGUGAGGAGCCAACAAGCAAGACUGUUCUUGGUGACCAUGAGAUCCUACAACUUCCUCUUUGCAGCUUUGAUAGCAGUGGGUAAUAAAACAGAAUAUUUCCUUUUUCAUGUUUUUAUCAGUUGCAGUUGCUUCCGUUGAGUUCACCGCUCCUCUCAUUUUCUGUCCCCUCCUUCUAACAGAGAUAAUUAGGUCAUUAGCGUAGCUGGGGUUUUCUUAUGCAACAUUUUACCUCUCUAAAGACACAAAAUGACAUUUUUUCUGUAACUUCAGAAAGAGUAAAACAUGAUUGCAUGUGAUAUGCACAAAGGCUGAUGUGCAGCCCAAUCAAGUUAAACGUCCCUGUGAGAUGAAAUGUAUUGUUUAAGCUCAAAUUUACAUCAGUUCAUCUGUACUUUCCUUUUGAGUCCAUUGCAGAGCUUGUACAGAUGGAUAGUUGAAGGAAACUGCAAGCCCAGAAGGGAUUUGGCUUAGCAUUUGGUGUGCAAAACUACU
This is a long non-coding RNA of Cyprinus carpio carpio, 784 nucleotides long. The record is from Ensembl. Lineage: Eukaryota; Metazoa; Chordata; Actinopteri; Cypriniformes; Cyprinidae.